Long non-coding RNA from Prosopis cineraria, 1222 nucleotides. RefSeq lists it as uncharacterized. The transcript has 3 exons. The record is from RefSeq and is a predicted model, not a curated record. NCBI's taxonomy places the organism in Eukaryota, Viridiplantae, Streptophyta, Magnoliopsida, Fabales, Fabaceae.
UUAAAAAUUAAAUUGAUAACGAUGGUUGCUUAUGGUCAAUGGUAUUAGUUCAUGAUAAAGAUUGAUUAAGCUAAUUAUAUUUUUUUAAUAAUAAAAUGUAGUGUGUUUUGUAAACAAGAAAAAUAAAAUAAAAAUUUAAAUUUUUUUUCAUUUUUAAAAGACAAAAAAAUGAGAAUAGUUUUGAAAAUAAUUAAAUCCAACACACUUAAACAAUUUUUUAAUUUUUUGUUUUUAAUAAUUAAAAAAUAGUUUUUGAAAACAGAAACUACACAGGCCCUUAAGAUUCCAUUUAAAAACAAGCAAAAUUAUGGUGGAAAUGAACAGGAUGAGCCAAUGGUCUUAUAAUCUUAUUGGCAUGCUUGUAAUCCUAAACCGUUAUUUGCCCUUCUAAUUUCGAAAAAAGAAAUGAACAUGAUGAGACAUAAUUUGGGCCAAACAAGCCUAACAGCCUAGCCAACCAUGCCAGAUAAUUGUCUGCAACAUGAUCAUUGUAUCUUUCAAACAUGCAAACUGGUGUUGAAUUGUCUGGCCCAAUAUCAACUUUGUUGUUCCUCUUUUGGUAUCAAAGGCGUCUGUCUCCCAAGCGACAGUCAAGGAUUAGUUCCUUUUAAAACAUUGAAAUCACAUAAGUGAACUUUGUCUUUGCUAACAGGAUAUUUUUUUUUCAUAAAAAUUAUUGUUUAAACCCCUAAGGCCCUAACAUAUUUAAAUUAUUAUUUUUUAAUCUUAAAGUUGAAGGCCAACAACUUAUUUUUGAAAUGAUACUUAAAUUAUUUGAAUUUCAGUUAAAACUAUAAUUAUUAUUAUUUUUGGAACUUGUUAAUUGUAAGAUUUUUUUUAUUGUACAUUUUAUUUGUUUAAAUAAAAAUAUAUUAAAAUCAUAAAAUAACAAUGAAGUAAAGUUGAAUUUGUGUCGGUCUAAUUUCAAUGCUUUAAACUUUUGCUUAAAUGACUUUCCCCUGUUUUGUCAUCGGAUGCUUGCUGAUUUAUCCUUUCAUAUAAAGGCUCGUUCACUUUGUUGACUUAUUUUCUGUUCUUGUCAAUAUCUUAUGAGAUUAUAUACGGUGAUUUGGAAUCAGACACGUCGACAAACAGGAUUAAGAAACGUCGACAACAACAGCGUAAAAGCAGACAGAUCCAGGAAAAAAGGGCUGUAGCCGCAAAUUAUAGAUUUGGGAUAUCGUUAUGAGUAAUUAUUCUAAUUAAAAUAUACCAUCUGAUU